Diospyros lotus (date-plum) is the source of this 584-nucleotide long non-coding RNA. RefSeq lists it as uncharacterized. The transcript is spliced from 3 exons. The record is from RefSeq and is a predicted model, not a curated record. Lineage: Eukaryota; Viridiplantae; Streptophyta; Magnoliopsida; Ericales; Ebenaceae.
AGAAAAUCAGGGUCAGCAGCAAAUGUGAAGCAGCUCUGAAUCUGCGGGAUUUACAAGAGGAUCAUUUUAUGGAAGAGACGAGCCUAUCUAUACAAACUGGAAGAUUUUUCAUCACUUGCAUGCGGGGCUUGAAAAAAGACUAAACUGGACUACAAUGUUACUGUCAACCGUUAGGGGAGCACCAAGUCCCUCCCUGCAAAAGGGGACUAGCUAAAGGGCCCCACAGUAACCAAAAUAGGCAAAGGGAAAGAGAACAGUCAUGGAAUAGGGAGGGGGUGCUUGAUUUUGGUAAGAGGUAAUAAAAAAGGUUUGAUUAAGAUGAUAUGGCAAUGUAAAAAAAGACCAAGAGAGGCUCCAAUGAGGAGAGCAGAGGGAACAGAACAAGUCUUCAAUAAACAAGGCUGAGGAAAACUAAGGAAAAUUUGGUAGAAAACUCUUAGGUAUAUUAUGGGUUAUAAGGGCCUCGCAAAGAUAUUGCCAUAAAAAAUAUCACAGGCGAGCUAUAAUUCCAUGUAGUCAACCCCACAUUGUGAGGUUAAGACUUGAUAUGUUGUUGUAAUCAAAAGAUUACCAAUCGAGAGGAA